ACGGAGGGUGCAAGCGUUAUUCGGAUUUAUUGGGCGUAAAGGGCGCGUAGGCGGCUUUUUAAGUCAGAUGUGAAAUCCCGGGGCUUAACCCCGGAAGUGCAUUUGAAACUGGGAAGCUUGAGUAUGGGAGAGGGAAACGGAAUUCCUGGUGUAGCGGUGAAAUGCGUAGAUAUCAGGCGGAACACCGGUCGCGAAAGCAGUUUACCGGAUUGAUACUGACGCUGAGGCGCGAAGGCGCGGGGAUCAAACAG
This 251-nucleotide ribosomal RNA is filed under the name uncultured prokaryote. Its description in RNAcentral is "partial 16S rRNA". It matches the Rfam family "Bacterial small subunit ribosomal RNA", at positions 525 to 775 of the family's 1533-position model. The record is from RNAcentral.